This is a long non-coding RNA of Myxocyprinus asiaticus (Chinese sucker), 1418 nucleotides long. RefSeq lists it as uncharacterized. The record is from RefSeq and is a predicted model, not a curated record. Lineage: Eukaryota; Metazoa; Chordata; Actinopteri; Cypriniformes; Catostomidae. The transcript is spliced from 3 exons.
UCCAAACGGCCAUACAUGAGACGCAAGUGCCCUGCUCCCUUCAGAGUUCUCACUCCAAGGGCUCAGCCCUUCGGAAGGAGUAGGGCAUAUGGAUGCUCACUUCGUUUGGAAUUCACGCUUUGGCACAUGACAGACCUGUGUUGCAUCUGAAACUGUCUGUCAGGGACAAACGUUGAUUACAAGAGUUCCGUGUGAAUAAUACCUAAUCGCAUAAUCCUCCGGCCGUUGUGGUUGUUGUGAGUGCAGGGUGCCAUUCAAAGAGAGAAUUCAACAUGACAUCUUUUAUAAAGAGUGAGGAGCGCGAUGACACUUACAAAAGAUGAGGCUACGACAGUCUACAACACAAUGUCCAACGGUCAACAGAUGUAGAAAGGAUUAAAGGAAGUUCCGCCUUAUAGGUAAAAGAGCCAAUCACCUUUUAGAUACAGACAUCACCUGUCAAUCAACUCGAUUAUGCGCAUGCGCAUUAGCUAUACAAGCCGGGAACGUUAUGUUUUAGCGUAAUAUGAGGUAAAGAAACCCAAUUUAUGAUUCCAGUAUUAUUAAAAUUUCUUUGGCUGAUUUGAAAUAUGCUCUUUGAUCGUAAUCUUGAGCAACUGUUUUUGAGAUUUUCCCCCAUUCAAGUAGAUAGGAGCUGCUCUGGCAUGACUGGAAAUAACCUCCCGAGAGCGUUCCAGAGAUGGCUGACAGUGGACUGACUUGCUAGAAAGACUUUGUUUACAGUAAAAAUGACUUAAAUAUUGAUUUGUUUCUCACCAACACCUAUCAUAUCGUAACUUAAGGUUUAUCAUAAGUGUCUACAUGCUUUGGGGCCACUGUAUUAGAUAUUUCUGUGAGAUAUGUGUGUUUUACAUAACUGUGUACUUGCAUUCUUUCCUGACCUGUACUUCUAAUAAUGCUUCAGUCAACGCAAGAGGAUGCAGCUUCAGAUUGAUCUCAAAUCACAGCAGCGCAAUCAACAUAUAUUUAUUCAUAGAAAAAAAAAGAGUAUAAUUUCAGACUGUUGUUAUUUUAACAUAAUUGUGUGUAGUAUUCAGAUAUUGAGAAUAAAUGGAAAGUGCUAUGUAUGAUUCAAUUUGCAUGUCUUGCACACCAUCUUUCCAAUUCUAAUGGGAUCCAACAAGAAUGAUCGGUAACACUUUACAAUGAAGUGCUGCAUGGUCUUUCUGAUGAAGCUGGUUACUAAGAUAGUUUAAAAGUCUGGUGGGACACAAUCACACCAGCAUCCAAAACACAGCAUACGCUGGUGACCAGUAAUUCUGGUCUUUUCAGAUGGGACUGGUUCAGAAAUCAGUCUGAAUGAUUCAUUAGCAGAUCAGUCUGAAUCUAAAUGUGUUUUUAAAAAUCCUCAUUGGUAACACUUUACAAUAAGGUUCCACUUGUUAACAUUAACAUUAGUUAACAUGAACUAACAAUUA